GACAGGGGAUACAAGCGUUACUCGGAAUCACUGGGCGUAAAGCGUCUGUAGGUGCUUUCGUAAGUCUGAGGUAAAAGUCCGGGGCUCAACCCCGGAAGCGUCUUGGAAACUACGAGAGUUGAGCAGUGGAGAGGUAUCUGGAAUGUCGCAUGUAGGAGUAAAAUCCGUAGAUAUGCGAUGGAACGCCAAAAGCGAAGGCAGGAUACUAGCCACUUGCUGACACUGAGAGACGAAAGCGUGGGGAGCGAAGGGG
This 253-nucleotide ribosomal RNA is filed under the name uncultured bacterium. RNAcentral's name for it is "partial 16S ribosomal RNA". It matches the Rfam family "Bacterial small subunit ribosomal RNA", at positions 524 to 776 of the family's 1533-position model. The record is from RNAcentral.